CGUUUGGUAGUUAACAUCGACAUGUCGUUGGUGACUACCGAGUUGUACUUCAUUAACGUAGCGUUUCGCCGUGCCCACACCGAAAUACUACGUUUUUUU
Molecule: regulatory RNA element, 99 nt
Rfam family: 23S methyl RNA motif
Source: Rfam